Molecule: ribosomal RNA, 450 nt
Filed under: uncultured bacterium
Lineage: Bacteria
Description: partial 16S ribosomal RNA
Rfam family: Bacterial small subunit ribosomal RNA
Source: RNAcentral
GUGGGGAAUCUUCCGCAAUGGACGAAAGUCUGACGGAGCGACGCCGCGUGAGUGAAGAAGGCCUUCGGGUCGUAAAGCUCUGUCAUCAGGGACGAAUGGCCGGUGGAGUGGAAAGCCACCGGAUUGACGGUACCUGAGAAGGAAGCCACGGCUAACUACGUGCCAGCAGCCGCGGUAAUACGUAGGUGGCAAGCGUUGUCCGGAAUUAUUGGGCGUAAAGCGCGCGCAGGUGGGAUCUUAAGUCCAUUUUGAAAGUUCGGAGCUCAACUCCGUGAUGGGAUGGAAACUGGGAUUCUUGAGUACCGGAGAGGAAAGCGGAAUUCCCCGUGUAGCGGUGAAAUGCGUAGAUAUGGGGAGGAACACCAGUGGCGAAGGCGGCUUUCUGGACGGUGUCUGACACUGAGGCGCGAAAGCCAGGGGAGCGAACGGGAUUAGAAACCCUUGUAGUCC